UACGAAGGGGGCUAGCGUUGUUCGGAAUUACUGGGCGUAAAGCGUGCGCAGGCGGCUUCUCAAGUCAGGGGUGAAAGCCCAGAGCUCAACUCUGGAGUUGCCUUUGAGACUGAGUGGCUUGAGUACGAGAGAGGUGAGUGGAAUUCCCAGUGUAGAGGUGAAAUUCGUAGAUAUUGGGAAGAACACCGGUGGCGAAGGCGGCUCACUGGCUCGUAACUGACGCUCAUGCACGACAGCGUGGGGAUCAAACAGG
Molecule: ribosomal RNA, 253 nt
Filed under: uncultured bacterium
Lineage: Bacteria
Description: partial 16S ribosomal RNA
Rfam family: Bacterial small subunit ribosomal RNA
Source: RNAcentral